AACGAACGCUGGCGGCAUGCCUAACACAUGCAAGUCGAACGAGACCGUCGGGUCUAGUGGCGCAUGGGUGCGUAACGCGUGGGAACCUGCCCGUAGGUUCGGAAUAACUCCCCGAAAGGGGUGCUAAUACCGGAUAAUGUCUUCGGACCAAAGAUUUAUCGCCUUUGGAUGGGCCCGCGUUGGAUUAGCUAGUUGGUAGGGUAAAAGCCUACCAAGGCGACGAUCCAUAGCUGGUCUGAGAGGAUGAUCAGCCACGCUGGGACUGAGACACGGCCCAGACUCCUACGGGAGGCAGCAGUGGGGAAUAUUGGACAAGGGGCGAAAGCCUGAUCCAGCAAUGCCGCGUGAGUGAUGAAGGCCUUAGGGUUGUAAAGCUCUUUUACCCGGGAUGAUAAUGACAGUACCGGGAGAAUAAGCUCCGGCUAACUCCGUG
Molecule: ribosomal RNA, 433 nt
Filed under: uncultured bacterium
Lineage: Bacteria
Description: partial 16S ribosomal RNA
Rfam family: Bacterial small subunit ribosomal RNA
Source: RNAcentral